RNAcentral lists this non-coding RNA (45 nucleotides) under Schistosoma mansoni. Lineage: Eukaryota; Metazoa; Platyhelminthes; Trematoda; Strigeidida; Schistosomatidae. The record is from RNAcentral.
AUCCAGCUGUUGAGUCUCAAAUAGGACGAAAUGCGCGUCCUGGAU